GAUAGGGGUUCUUCUGCUAAGAGCGCAAACGUCCUGUUUGCAACGCAGAAGUCAGCACGUCCUGUGCA
This 68-nucleotide small RNA is filed under the name Alteribacillus iranensis. Its description in RNAcentral is "Bacillus sp. X5B(2010) Bacillaceae-1 RNA". It matches the Rfam family "Bacillaceae-1 RNA". The record is from Rfam by way of RNAcentral. Lineage: Bacteria; Bacillati; Bacillota; Bacilli; Caryophanales; Bacillaceae.